UUGUGCUAAUUCUUUCCUCUCAGAAAUAUGUUCUUGGGUGAUCAAUCAAGCUGAACAUACAGAUGCCAUGAAGUCAUGAUAAUCAAGUUGGAAGGCACCUCAGGAGCACACACAGACGUGAGCUGCUGCUGCUGCUGCUUCAUUACUGCUGGGAAGCUGGACUGAAAAAUCUGGGAGUCACACAGAGGUCUGCAUGAACUGACUUAGCCUAUCUAUUUCCUUCUGGAUCUAUUUUAUUUACAUAUAUGAAAGUGAAUGGAUCAUCUCAAU
This 270-nucleotide long non-coding RNA is filed under the name Coturnix japonica (Japanese quail). Its description in RNAcentral is "lncRNA (ENSCJPG00005018212.1)". Lineage: Eukaryota; Metazoa; Chordata; Aves; Galliformes; Phasianidae. The record is from RNAcentral.